GCAUGUAUUUGCCGUUUGUGCAGGAAAAUUCCUCUCAGAUGAGGCAUACAGCAUGUACCUGAAACCUCCUGAUUCAGCCCUAUUCUGGACAAGCUGUUUUGGUGCACUGUGGCUUUAAUGCAAUGAGCUGCUGCUUUCCACGCCCCCUCCCUCCCGAAGGCCGUGCCCCCACCAACUCGCAACCAUGACAACGCAGUCAGAGUCUGUAAAGAUGGCGGCUAGAAGGAGCGCGAUAGUCCAAACUGAUAUAUUUGACCCUGAAUCUGAGGUUGAAGAGGGAGAAGCGCAGCAAGAAGAACAAGAGGAAGUAGUGCGAAUGCAGCAAGAAGUUUCUGAAUGGUUCUAAGACGGAUGCAGCAGGUAGAUGACCAUAUGACCUGCAUGUUGGACCACCCUGGUUUAGAGCCUGUUUGCCUGAAUCCCUACUCUUUACAGAGGGAAUUCAACCAUUACAGAGCAAAUUAUGGCCGUUUACAGAUCAGGGGAAUAGAGAAGCGUUUCAGGUAUGUGGAUACCGAAGCUUUGUUGGAUGGUGUUGGGGCUUCCUUGGACGGAGGGUACGGGUGGUUGUUCCAGCAUGUGUGGUGCUACGUAUACGCCGUGAAUUUCCGGAUCCAGA
This is a long non-coding RNA of Epinephelus fuscoguttatus (brown-marbled grouper), 619 nucleotides long. RefSeq lists it as uncharacterized. NCBI's taxonomy places the organism in Eukaryota, Metazoa, Chordata, Actinopteri, Perciformes, Serranidae. The transcript is spliced from 3 exons. The record is from RefSeq and is a predicted model, not a curated record.